GGGUUGUGAGGUUAAGCGACUAAGCGUACACGGUGGAUGCCCUGGCAGUCAGAGGCGAUGAAGGACGUGCUAAUCUGCGAUAAGCGUCGGUAAGGUGAUAUGAACCGUUAUAACCGGCGAUUUCCGAAUGGGGAAACCCAGUGUGAUUCGUCACACUAUCAUUAACUGAAUCCAUAGGUUAAUGAGGCGAACCGGGGGAACUGAAACAUCUAAGUACCCCGAGGAAAAGAAAUCAACCGAGAUUCCCCCAGUAGCGGCGAGCGAACGGGGAGCAGCCCAGAGCCUGAAUCAGUGUGUGUGUUAGUGGAAGCGUCUGGAAAGGCGCGCGAUACAGGGUGACAGCCCCGUACACAAAAAUGCACAUACUGUGAGCUCGAUGAGUAGGGCGGGACACGUGGUAUCCUGUCUGAAUAUGGGGGGACCAUCCUCCAAGGCUAAAUACUCCUGACUGACCGAUAGUGAACCAGUACCGUGAGGGAAAGGCGAAAAGAACCCCGGCGAGGGGAGUGAAAAAGAACCUGAAACCGUGUACGUACAAGCAGUGGGAGCACGCUUAGGCGUGUGACUGCGUACCUUUUGUAUAAUGGGUCAGCGACUUAUAUUCUGUAGCAAGGUUAACCGAAUAGGGGAGCCGAAGGGAAACCGAGUCUUAACUGGGCGUUAAGUUGCAGGGUAUAGACCCGAAACCCGGUGAUCUAGCCAUGGGCAGGUUGAAGGUUGGGUAACACUAACUGGAGGACCGAACCGACUAAUGUUGAAAAAUUAGCGGAUGACUUGUGGCUGGGGGUGAAAGGCCAAUCAAACCGGGAGAUAGCUGGUUCUCCCCGAAAGCUAUUUAGGUAGCGCCUCGUGAAUUCAUCUCCGGGGGUAGAGCACUGUUUCGGCAAGGGGGUCAUCCCGACUUACCAACCCGAUGCAAACUGCGAAUACCGGAGAAUGUUAUCACGGGAGACACACGGCGGGUGCUAACGUCCGUCGUGAAGAGGGAAACAACCCAGACCGCCAGCUAAGGUCCCAAAGUCAUGGUUAAGUGGGAAACGAUGUGGGAAGGCCCAGACAGCCAGGAUGUUGGCUUAGAAGCAGCCAUCAUUUAAAGAAAGCGUAAUAGCUCACUGGUCGAGUCGGCCUGCGCGGAAGAUGUAACGGGGCUAAACCAUGCACCGAAGCUGCGGCAGCGACGCUUAUGCGUUGUUGGGUAGGGGAGCGUUCUGUAAGCCUGUGAAGGUGUGCUGUGAGGCAUGCUGGAGGUAUCAGAAGUGCGAAUGCUGACAUAAGUAACGAUAAAGCGGGUGAAAAGCCCGCUCGCCGGAAGACCAAGGGUUCCUGUCCAACGUUAAUCGGGGCAGGGUGAGUCGACCCCUAAGGCGAGGCCGAAAGGCGUAGUCGAUGGGAAACAGGUUAAUAUUCCUGUACUUGGUGUUACUGCGAAGGGGGACGGAGAAGGCUAUGUUGGCCGGGCGACGGUUGUCCCGGUUUAAGCGUGUAGGCUGGUUUUCCAGGCAAAUCCGGAAAAUCAAGGCUGAGGCGUGAUGACGAGGCACUACGGUGCUGAAGCAACAAAUGCCCUGCUUCCAGGAAAAGCCUCUAAGCAUCAGGUAACAUCAAAUCGUACCCCAAACCGACACAGGUGGUCAGGUAGAGAAUACCAAGGCGCUUGAGAGAACUCGGGUGAAGGAACUAGGCAAAAUGGUGCCGUAACUUCGGGAGAAGGCACGCUGAUAUGUAGGUGAAGUCCCUCGCGGAUGGAGCUGAAAUCAGUCGAAGAUACCAGCUGGCUGCAACUGUUUAUUAAAAACACAGCACUGUGCAAACACGAAAGUGGACGUAUACGGUGUGACGCCUGCCCGGUGCCGGAAGGUUAAUUGAUGGGGUCAGCGCAAGCGAAGCUCUUGAUCGAAGCCCCGGUAAACGGCGGCCGUAACUAUAACGGUCCUAAGGUAGCGAAAUUCCUUGUCGGGUAAGUUCCGACCUGCACGAAUGGCGUAAUGAUGGCCAGGCUGUCUCCACCCGAGACUCAGUGAAAUUGAACUCGCUGUGAAGAUGCAGUGUACCCGCGGCAAGACGGAAAGACCCCGUGAACCUUUACUAUAGCUUGACACUGAACAUUGAGCCUUGAUGUGUAGGAUAGGUGGGAGGCUUAGAAGUGUGGACGCCAGUCUGCAUGGAGCCGACCUUGAAAUACCACCCUUUAAUGUUUGAUGUUCUAACGUUGACCCGUAAUCCGGGUUGCGGACAGUGUCUGGUGGGUAGUUUGACUGGGGCGGUCUCCUCCUAAAGAGUAACGGAGGAGCACGAAGGUUGGCUAAUCCUGGUCGGACAUCAGGAGGUUAGUGCAAUGGCAUAAGCCAGCUUGACUGCGAGCGUGACGGCGCGAGCAGGUGCGAAAGCAGGUCAUAGUGAUCCGGUGGUUCUGAAUGGAAGGGCCAUCGCUCAACGGAUAAAAGGUACUCCGGGGAUAACAGGCUGAUACCGCCCAAGAGUUCAUAUCGACGGCGGUGUUUGGCACCUCGAUGUCGGCUCAUCACAUCCUGGGGCUGAAGUAGGUCCCAAGGGUAUGGCUGUUCGCCAUUUAAAGUGGUACGCGAGCUGGGUUUAGAACGUCGUGAGACAGUUCGGUCCCUAUCUGCCGUGGGCGCUGGAGAACUGAGGGGGCUGCUCCUAGUACGAGAGGACCGGAGUGGACGCAUCACUGGUGUUCGGGUUGUCAUGCCAAUGGCACUGCCCGGUAGCUAAAUGCGGAAGAGAUAAGUGCUGAAAGCAUCUAAGCACGAAACUUGCCCCGAGAUGAGUUCUCCCUGACCCUUUAAGGGUCCUGAAGGAACGUUGAAGACGACGACGUUGAUAGGCCGGGUGUGUAAGCGCAGCGAUGCGUUGAGCUAACCGGUACUAAUGAACCGUGAGGCUUAACCUUACAACGCCGAAGGUGUUU
Molecule: ribosomal RNA, 2929 nt
Filed under: Escherichia coli
Lineage: Bacteria; Pseudomonadati; Pseudomonadota; Gammaproteobacteria; Enterobacterales; Enterobacteriaceae
Description: bacterial LSU rRNA
Rfam family: Bacterial large subunit ribosomal RNA
Source: RNAcentral